RNAcentral lists this ribosomal RNA (132 nucleotides) under Muribaculaceae bacterium. RNAcentral's name for it is "partial 16S ribosomal RNA". It matches the Rfam family "Bacterial small subunit ribosomal RNA", at positions 1 to 125 of the family's 1533-position model. The record is from RNAcentral. Lineage: Bacteria; Pseudomonadati; Bacteroidota; Bacteroidia; Bacteroidales; Muribaculaceae.
ACAACGAAGAGUUUGAUCCUGGCUCAGGAUGAACGCUAGCGACAGGCUUAACACAUGCAAGUCGAGGGGCAGCGGGGGAGUAGCAAUACUCCCGCCGGCGACCGGCGCACGGGUGAGUAACACGUAUGAAAC